AGCCCUGACCUCAGUUAAUGAACAAUCAAGAGACAAUGAUAUUGUUAUGAUUGGAGCUGUUUCUGCACCAUCCAGAGGCAUGUUGAGGGCGAGGCUCGAGGACUUUUUCUCCAAGGGUCACCAUAGUGCUUAAGGGGCGAGGACAAACCUUGCGACGCUGCGUCUGAUUAAAUUCCAUCAGUGUAUUGAGCUUGCAGACCUGGGUGCUCAGCCCAUGUGAGGAAGUGCAUACUGUGCGGAUUCUACUGGAGGCUAAAGCACGACGGUGCAUGUGACGAUGCUGAUGAUCGCGGAGCUUCUUGCAAGAAAUGGCGUUGCGUUCUCAGGCUGCUUGCAGAUGGUGACCGCGGAAACUUGCCACCUUCGGCAGCUUUCAAACUUGCCCAACUCGUGUUUUUUCGGGUCAUCGUCGUAGUUGGUCCUUCUCUUGUUGAUUUCUGUGACCACCUUGAUUCCGGCCUAAUUUGCGCUCAAUCAUCAGCAGCUGGAGGAUCAACUCGAUUAAUGCAAAACAGGCUGAUAUCAGGGUGGUCACAAAAUCAAUCCACGGUUACCCUUACAGAUUAUAGCCAAAGUGUGUUAUGAAGGUAGGAAGAGCACCACGAUUCGAAUCAACGAUAAAUGAAUGUUAUUGAUGUUGGAAUGUAGUUGGACUAGCCUAUCACACGUAGACUCUGCAGAUUUACAUGGUUGUUGACAAGGUUUCCAGGCCCUGCGAUCACGAUAACUCUGUUGCCCAUUUCUAUUCUGACUAGAUUGUCACCCUGUCCGAGAUUUUUCAGGAGCCUGUGUCAAGGUCGCAUCCGAUGUAGCCAGCAUGGAGUCCAGAAUCAAGUGUACCUGUGCUUUUAGAAAUCAUGUCUAAGCUGCAGAAUCACUGAAGGCUAGUUUACUCGGCAUCAGAAGUCUUCAGGGCUCAUCAAUUAGGAGAAUUAUAGACCUCUGUGGUUGGGUUUAUGUUUUCACCAUCAUGUCCAUACGUAUGAAUGAGAAGCUUGUGAUUGCACCACUCACUGCUUGCAUUA
Physcomitrium patens is the source of this 1025-nucleotide non-coding RNA. Lineage: Eukaryota; Viridiplantae; Streptophyta; Bryopsida; Funariales; Funariaceae. The record is from RefSeq and is a predicted model, not a curated record.